This 327-nucleotide ribosomal RNA is filed under the name uncultured Bacteroidota bacterium. RNAcentral describes it as "bacterial SSU rRNA". It matches the Rfam family "Bacterial small subunit ribosomal RNA", at positions 28 to 351 of the family's 1533-position model. The record is from RNAcentral. Lineage: Bacteria; Pseudomonadati; Bacteroidota.
GAUGAACGCUAGCGGCAGGCCUAACACAUGCAAGUCGAACGGUAACAUUGGUUGCUUGCAACCAGAUGACGAGUGGCGCACGGGUGCGUAACGCGUAUACAAUCUGCCUCUUACAGGGGGAUAGCCUUUGGAAACGAAGAAUAAUACCCCAUAGUAUGUAGAUGCCGCAUGGUAUUUGCAUUAAAGAUUUAUCGGUAAGAGAUGAGUAUGCGUCCUAUUAGCUAGAUGGUGUGGUAACGGCACACCAUGGCAACGAUAGGUAGGGGCCCCGAGAGGGGGAUCCCCACACUGGUACUGAGACACGGACCAGACUCCUACGGGAGGCAG